This 501-nucleotide ribosomal RNA is filed under the name uncultured bacterium. RNAcentral describes it as "partial 16S ribosomal RNA". It matches the Rfam family "Bacterial small subunit ribosomal RNA", at positions 30 to 523 of the family's 1533-position model. The record is from RNAcentral.
AUUGAACGCUGGCGGCAUGCCUUACACAUGCAAGUCGAACGGCAGCACGGGUGCUUGCACCUGGUGGCGAGUGGCGAACGGGUGAGUAAUAUAUCGGAACGUACCUUAUUGUGGGGGAUAACGCAGCGAAAGCUGUGCUAAUACCGCAUAAUCCCUUAGGGGGAAAGCGGGGGACCGUAAGGCCUCGCGCAAUUAGAGCGGCCGAUACCUGAUUAGCUAGUUGGUGAGGUAAAGGCUCACCAAGGCGACGAUCAGUAGCUGGUCUGAGAGGACGAUCGGCCACACUGGGACUGAGACACGGCCCAGACUCCUACGGGAGGCAGCAGUGGGGAAUUUUGGACAAUGGGGGCAACCCUGAUCCAGCAAUGCCGCGUGAGUGAAGAAGGCCUUCGGGUUGUAAAGCUCUUUUGUCAGGGAAGAAGCAGCAGCUCUAACACAGUAUGCGAAUGACGGUACCUGAAGAAUAAGCACCGGCUAACUACGUGCCAGCCGCCGCAGUAA